RNAcentral lists this long non-coding RNA (929 nucleotides) under Chrysemys picta bellii (western painted turtle). RNAcentral's name for it is "lncRNA (ENSCPBG00000023460.1)". Lineage: Eukaryota; Metazoa; Chordata; Testudines; Emydidae. The record is from RNAcentral.
UGGAGAGGGGCGGGGGAUACUCUCCUCUCACCAGGAUGCCCUUCCCACCGCAGGUCAUCCAGGGGCACCUCCCCUCCACCCCAUGAUUACCCAGAAGAACCAGACAGUGCCUGUCAGGAGGAACCUGGGCCUGCUGCUGAAGCCUUAGAGACCUCAGCCCAUCUCGCCCAGCAGGAGUCACGCACCACCCUCUCAGGCAUGGGCAGCACUGUAUGGACCAUAGGGAGUCGCAUCAGCCACUGGAGACUGGCACACCAGCGGGGUUACCACGUGGACCAGCUAACACAGGCACCGGCUGAGGAAACACGAGCGGGACUGCAAAGCAGCUGUGAGUCUGCCCCCCCCCCCAUGGUUUAUGGGGCCUUUCUCCCCCUUCCGAUGGUAUGCUCCCGCCCUACCCAGACCUGAACUUCCUGCCAGCCCCCGUCCAUCUGACCUGAGCCCUGACCCACUAGUGCACCUGCCCCCAGCCUCCUCUGACUACCUCUCAAUACCUCUACCCUGAGCCCCUAGAGUGUCCCGCACAAUCUCCCUAACCCCCCAUGGUGGCCUGUCUUCCGGCCUUGAUCACCCCAGCCCCUCCUGCUGCCCUCUUAUGGGGCUCCCUCCCCCUGAGUCAGUCCCCCAUCACCUCUGAUGCUCCAGUUUGGGGCCCUCAUGGGGAACCCCAGUCUAGGCAUCUCUCAUGAUCCCCUGAGCUCCCUCCACCCACCCACAGGGAACACACACAAGGCUAAUGCCCCACGUGGGUCCUAUGUCAAUGGGGAAAGGACCUCCUCACAGUGCCCUCCCCCAGUCUCAGGGCACCACUGAGAACUGAGGCUCUCAUCAUGUGGAUGAGUGCUCAGAAAUCCCCCCAGGGAGGGUCAGGGCUGCAGGGAAUCACCUCCUGGACACUAAGCUCCCCCACUCCACGGCCAGGGAGGAGG